AGAGCGAACGCUGGCGGCAGGCCUAAUACAUGCAAGUCGAACGGCUCUUCGGAGCAGUGGCGGACGGGUGAGUAACGCGUGGGAAUGUGCCCUUUGGUACGGAACAACUGAGGGAAACUUCAGCUAAUACCGUAUGUGCCCUUCGGGGGAAAGAUUUAUUGCCAUUGGAGCAGCCCGCGUUGGAUUAGCUAGUUGGUGGGGUAAAGGCCCACCAAGGCGACGAUCCAUAGCUGGUCUGAGAGGAUGAUCAGCCACACUGGGACUGAGACACGGCCCAGACUCCUACGGGAGCAGCAGUAGGGAAUCUUGCGCAAUGGGCAAAGCCUGACGCAGCCAUGCCGCGUGAAUGAUGAAGUCUAGGAUUGUAAAAUUCUUUCACCGGGAAGAUAAUGACGGUACCCGAGAAGAAGCCCGACUAACUCGUGCCAGCAGCCGC
This 436-nucleotide ribosomal RNA is filed under the name uncultured soil bacterium. RNAcentral describes it as "bacterial SSU rRNA". It matches the Rfam family "Bacterial small subunit ribosomal RNA", at positions 26 to 518 of the family's 1533-position model. The record is from RNAcentral.